Molecule: long non-coding RNA, 1386 nt
Organism: Zonotrichia albicollis (white-throated sparrow)
Lineage: Eukaryota; Metazoa; Chordata; Aves; Passeriformes; Passerellidae
Source: RefSeq, a predicted model, not a curated record
GGCGGGACGGGCCGGGGCCGAUGAGAGGGCAGCGGCAGAUGGGGCGAGGCUCCAUGGAUCAGCGAAGGUCACAGGAUUUUGAGCUUCUCCUUCACUGAAAUACCUUGUCACAAAGACAGGAUGGCCACCCUCUUUUUUCACUCUGCCUCCAGGCCCUCCUUGUGGCCUGUAACUGUGGUCUCUGGAGCAAUGUCUGAGCUGGAUGUGGAGAUUUACAUGGAAGUGGGAUCUCACUUUGAGGCUAUGAUUCACCUUCCUUUUCUUCUGAGAUGUGGAAGAACCUUUGUGCUCAUUCUGCCCAACUUUCAUGCUGCCCACUUCACUGAUGAAGCUAAGGGAGGAAGGAACCUGCCAUGAGAAGUUUCUUCAUGUUUAUUUUCUCUUUGUUUGUAGCUGGCCUUGAAUGAUAGGAGGUGAAUAGCUUCUCCUGGAUCAGAGAGGUCACUGCAGAACACCGUGAAUGUUCUCCAUUGGCAAAAGGGAAGAGAUUUUCUCUAAAGCUGCCUACAUUACUCCUACUUUGUAGAAAAAGAGGGUUUUACUCUAUGAUGCUGCAUUACCACCCCUUCAAUAAAAUUUGAAAAUCUGCAAACUUCCUAAUCCUUGCACAAGCACUUAGCCAUGAGGUUUUUACUGCUACUAAUAGGAGUCUUUCAGCUAAAUCUCUACAUGUCUCUGUAAUUACCUACACAAGAAGUAAUGUUCUGUAAUACCAUUCAAUCUCUAUUUUCAUGUCAUGCCACAGUCUAAUAUUCCUCAGCCCAUAGCAAAUAUGCCUUCAGAAAAUAGCCUGAGAUAGGACAAAAUAAGAUCCACGUUCAAGUGAGAAGCACUCAGUGAAACAGACUCCUGUCUAGUGACUUGAUACGCCAGACCAUAAGGAUAUAAAAAGUGCAGGGAUGGUUUGUGCCAGAUACAGUCUCUUGUUGGAAGAUUUGGUUCUAAAAACCCAUGAGAAAAAGAACUUGUUCUAUUCACUGAAUGGAGAAAAGCCAAGAUAUUUGAAAUAAAAUAGAAACUAUUUGAACUAUAUAUACCCUUCACUUUAUUUCCAAUCAAACUUAUCACUGGAUGUCUAUAGAACAAACCCAAAACACACAGAAAAGUGAAGUGUACAGCCCAAAUUGGAGAAGCAGCUUAUAGGAAAGACACUGAUUUGCAAUCUUCCUUCGGUCUCACAGAGCUCUCUACAUUGUAGGGGAUAUUACAGUGAGCUUCAAAAGCCAACCUAGAGAGCAGGUUUUUAGUUCCAGGGUCCCCAUAACUUUCCUUGUUUCAUAUGGGAUACAAGAAGCAAGAUGACAUUUGUUCUAAAAUGAUUGACUGAGGAUUUCACUGGAGGUCUUUUGCAAUUGACCUUCUGAGAGAAAAGCAGAGAGAUUUGAA